Molecule: ribosomal RNA, 433 nt
Filed under: uncultured bacterium
Lineage: Bacteria
Description: partial 16S ribosomal RNA
Rfam family: Bacterial small subunit ribosomal RNA
Source: RNAcentral
AACGAACGCUGGCGGCAUGCCUAACACAUGCAAGUCGAACGAGACCUUCGGGUCUAGUGGCGCACGGGUGCGUAACGCGUGGGAACCUGCCCUUAGGUUCGGAAUAACUCCCCGAAAGGGGUGCUAAUACCGGAUAAUUUCUUCGGACCAAAGAUUUAUCGCCUUUGGAUGGGCCCGCGUUGGAUUAGCUAGUUGGUAGGGUAAAAGCCUACCAAGGGGACGAUCCAUAGCUGGUCUGAGAGGAUGAUCAGCCACACUGGGACUGAGACACGGCCCAGACUCCUACGGGAGGCAGCAGUGGGGAAUAUUGGACAAUGGGCGAAAGCCUGAUCCAGCAAUGCCGCGUGAGUGAUGAAGGCCUUAGGGUUGUAAAGCUCUUUUACCCGGGAUGAUAAUGACAGUACCGGGAGAAUAAGCUCCGGCUAACUCCGUG